This 1291-nucleotide ribosomal RNA is filed under the name uncultured bacterium. RNAcentral's name for it is "bacterial SSU rRNA". It matches the Rfam family "Bacterial small subunit ribosomal RNA", at positions 47 to 1390 of the family's 1533-position model. The record is from RNAcentral.
CCUAACACAUGCAAGUCGAGGGAGAAGUCACUUCGGUGACGGAAACCGGCGCACGGGUGAGUAACACGUAGCUACCUGCCCCGAAGAGAGGGAUAACAGUUGGAAACAACUGCUAAUACCUCAUACCCUCGCAAGAGGAAAGCUCCGGCGCUUCGGGAUGGGGCUGCGAGCCAUCAGCUAGAUGGUGGGGUAAAGGCCCACCAUGGCGACGACGGCUAGGGGACCUGAGAGGGUGACCCCCCACACUGGGACUGAGACACGGCCCAGACUUCUACGGAAGGCAGCAGUGAGGAAUAUUGCACAAUGGGCGCAAGCCUGAUGCAGCGACGCCGCGUGGGUGAAGAAGGAUUUCGGUCUGUAAAGCCCUUUUCUGCGUGACGAGAGUGGACGGUAGCGCAGGAAUAAGUCUCGGCUAACUACGUGCCAGCAGCCGCGGUAAAACGUAGGAGGCAAGCGUUAUCCGGAGUUACUGGGCGUAAAGCGCGUGCAGGUGGAUUGUUAAGUCACUUAUGAAAGCUCCCGGCUAAACUGGGAGAGGCUGAGUGAAACUGGCAGUCUUGAGUAGAGGAGAGGUAGACGGAAUUCCGCGUGUAGUGGUGAAAUGCGUAGAGAUGCGGAAGAACACCAGUGGCGAAGGCGGUCUACUGGCCUCUAACUGACACUCAGACGCGAAAGCAUGGGUAGCGAACGGGAUUAGAAACCCCGGUAGUCCAUGCCGUAAACGAUGCACACUAGACGUUCGCAGUCAAUGGCUGUGGGUGUCGCAGCAAACGCGAUAAGUGUGCCGCCUGGGGAGUACGGUCGCAAGGCUAAAACUCAAAGGAAUUGACGGGGGCCCGCACAAGCAGCGGAGCGUGUGGUUUAAUUCGAGGAUACGCGAAGAACCUUACCUGGGUUUGACAUAGCGGUGGUAAGAGGCAGAGAUGCUUCUGACCCUUCGGGGAGCCGUUACAGGUGCUGCAUGGUUGUCGUCAGCUCGUGCCGUGAGGUGUUCGGUUAAGUCCGCAAACGAGCGCAACCCUCGGCGUUAGUUACAAGUGUCUAGCGCAACUGCCCGUGGUAAACGGGAGGAAGGUGGGGAUGACGUCAAAUCAGCAUGGCCUUUAUAUCCAGGGCUACACACACGCUACAAUGGCGCAUACAAUGGGUAGCGAAGCCGCGAGGUGGAGCCAAUCUCGAAAGUGCGUCUCAGUUCGGAUUGCAGGCUGCAACUCGCCUGCAUGAAGUCGGAGUUGCUAGUAACCGUGUAUCAGCACGGCACGGUGAAUACGUUCCCGGGCCUUGCACACAC